RNAcentral lists this transfer RNA (72 nucleotides) under Stereobalanus canadensis. RNAcentral describes it as "tRNA-Ile". It matches the Rfam family "tRNA". From Rfam's summary of the family: Transfer RNA (tRNA) molecules are approximately 80 nucleotides in length. Their secondary structure includes four short double-helical elements and three loops (D, anti-codon, and T loops). Lineage: Eukaryota; Metazoa; Hemichordata; Enteropneusta; Harrimaniidae. The record is from RNAcentral.
CAGUUUGUAUCCGACACUAAGGAGCCUUGGCCGAUAACCAAGUUAUCGGGGGUUAAAAUCCCCCCAAACUGC